AGCGAUUUAGAGCGACAGUCAAA
Molecule: small nuclear RNA, 23 nt
Filed under: Arabidopsis thaliana (thale cress)
Lineage: Eukaryota; Viridiplantae; Streptophyta; Magnoliopsida; Brassicales; Brassicaceae
Description: snRNA_02662
Source: RNAcentral